UGGGGAAUAUUGCACAAUGGGCGAAAGCCUGAUGCAGCGACGCCGCGUGCGGGAUGAAGGCCUUCGGGUUGUAAACCGCUUUUAAUUGGGAGCAAGCGAGAGUGAGUGUACCUUUUGAAUAAGCACCGGCUAACUACGUGCCAGCAGCCGCGGUAAUACGUAGGGUGCAAGCGUUAUCCGGAAUUAUUGGGCGUAAAGAGCUCGUAGGCGGUUUGUCACGCCUGGUGUGAAAGUCCAUCGCUUAACGGUGGAUCUGCGCCGGGUACGGGCAGGCUAGAGUGCAGUAGGGGAGAUUGGAAUUCCCGGUGUAACGGUGGAAUGUGUAGAUAUCGGGAAGAACACCAAUGGCGAAGGCAGAUCUCUGGGCUGUUACUGACGCUGAGGAGCGAAAGCAUGGGGAGCGAACAGGAUUAGAUACCCUGGUAGUCCAUGCCGUAAACGGUGGAUGCUGGAUGUGGGACCCCUCCACGGGUUCCGUGUCGGAGCUAACGCGUUAAGCAUCCCGCCUGGGGAGUACGGCCGCAAGGCUAAA
Molecule: ribosomal RNA, 532 nt
Filed under: uncultured bacterium
Lineage: Bacteria
Description: partial 16S ribosomal RNA
Rfam family: Bacterial small subunit ribosomal RNA
Source: RNAcentral